Peromyscus maniculatus bairdii (prairie deer mouse) is the source of this 615-nucleotide long non-coding RNA. RefSeq lists it as uncharacterized. NCBI's taxonomy places the organism in Eukaryota, Metazoa, Chordata, Mammalia, Rodentia, Cricetidae. The record is from RefSeq and is a predicted model, not a curated record.
UGUGACCCGUGCUCUGAAGACAUGACUAGGAAAUCAGCGUGCAGAAAUGCUGCUGGUGGGGACCUGCCUCAGUCAGAGGAGGCUUCCAUGGAGGUAAUGUCUGAGCGCCUAACUCAAGAGGAGUUGACCAGGGAAAGAAGAGGGGAGAGCAUUGCAGAAGCGAAGAGAGCACACAGAUCUGAGGUGAAACAACAGGUGAAACAUACCAUGGAUGGAAGGAAGAGACUGUCCCUUGCCUCCCCCAAACCACCCUACAACCAAGUGAUUAAUAGGAGUAUGUAAUGCUGCCACACAGUGAAGAGCCUCCUGUCACCAUAAGGAACGGAGCCAAGGACUACGGGUUGAAACCUCAGGAACUGAUACAGGCAGAAGGUGGGCUAAGUGCAAACUGAACAGAGAGAGUUAGAAAAAAGGUACCCAAACCAAGCCGAACAGCGGACAAGGUUUGUAUUAUGGUCGCCAUGGCAGUGAUGCGGGACAGGGAAGCCACGUCACAUUAAUGUGUCCGACCACCAGGAUGUCUGUCCAAGUUCAGCAAGCCUCUCAGCUCCCCUCUGAAGCAAAUAUAGCUGGUCUUCAAUACCCAUGGGUCCCACAUUUCUACUUGUGGAUUCA